CAUUCCGAGGAGCGUUGCAGUUCACAUCCCGUUGAACGAGGCUCGGACCCGUGGAAGGGCACCGCCCCCUCCACCGCAUCAACGGCGCUCACCCACG
RNAcentral lists this non-coding RNA (97 nucleotides) under Curvibacter sp. Its description in RNAcentral is "SAH sequence". It matches the Rfam family "SAH (S-adenosyl-L-homocysteine) riboswitch aptamer". The record is from RNAcentral. Lineage: Bacteria; Pseudomonadati; Pseudomonadota; Betaproteobacteria; Burkholderiales; Comamonadaceae.